GGGGGCGUAAUGGUUUCGACGGGGAACGGGUUGGCCUGGGACGCGAGCCGGGUUGCCGCCAGGACCGUAAAAAGGGCGGAAGGCUUUAAUUGCCGAAGAAAACUACGCUUUAGCUGCUUAAUUGCAGUCUAACCUCUUCUCCUCUGUGCUCUCGGUGAGGAUGUAAGGGGUCAUUUAAGGGAGCUGGCUCGGACCAAUUCUCGGAGGUCCGGGCGAGACUCAUCGAGAUAGCCUGACCAACGCUUUGUCUGUUGUGCGGAAGGAUGGCGAAAUCUAAAACGACAGAAUACGCUCGUAAAUGCCUUUGUUGGCUCUUCUUCGGACGCUGGGUUCGACUCCCGCCGCCUCCACCA
The sequence is a non-coding RNA, 353 nucleotides long. It matches the Rfam family "transfer-messenger RNA". Rfam says of the family: Bacterial tmRNA, also known as 10Sa RNA or SsrA, is named for its dual tRNA and mRNA-like properties. Its role is to liberate the mRNA from a stalled ribosome. To accomplish this part of the tmRNA is used as a reading frame that ends in a translation stop signal. The record is from Rfam.